Molecule: small nucleolar RNA, 133 nt
Organism: Molossus molossus (Pallas's mastiff bat)
Lineage: Eukaryota; Metazoa; Chordata; Mammalia; Chiroptera; Molossidae
Product: small nucleolar RNA SNORA42/SNORA80 family
Exons: 1
Source: RefSeq, a predicted model, not a curated record
GCCUGGUAAUGGGUUUCCGUGGGCCCUUCUCUGUGGGCCCUCUUGGUGUGCCCAUGCCAGAGUAAACAGCAGCCUCGAACCAUUGCCCAGCCUCCUUACCUGGGGACUGAGCACUGAAGGGGAGUGUAUAGUU